Non-coding RNA from Postia placenta MAD-698-R-SB12, 98 nucleotides. The record is from the annotation of a RefSeq genome assembly. Lineage: Eukaryota; Fungi; Basidiomycota; Agaricomycetes; Polyporales; Adustoporiaceae.
GGGCAAUUGGCACAGUGGUAGCGCGCACGCUUCGCAUGUGUCUUGCGAUUAUCGCUUGAGUCUGCGUGAGGUCCAGGGUUCAAUCCCCUGAUUGUCCA